CCUACGGGUGGCAGCAGUGAGGAAUAUUGGUCAAUGGGCGCAAGCCUGAACCAGCCAAGUCGCGUGCGGGAAGACGGCCCUAUGGAUUGUAAACCGCUUUUGUCCGGGGGUAAAAGACGCCACGCGUGGCGUUCUGAGAGUACCCGAAGAAAAAGCAUCGGCUAACUCCGUGCCAGCAGCCGCGGUAAUACGGAGGAUGCGAGCGUUAUCCGGAUUUAUUGGGUUUAAAGGGUGCGCAGGCGGAAGAUAAAGUCCGCGGUAAAAUCGGGAGGCUCAACCUCUUCGAGCCGUUGAAACUGGUUUUCUUGAGUGAGUGAGAAGUAUGCGGAAUGCGUGGUGUAGCGGUGAAAUGCAUAGAUAUCACGCAGAACACCGAUUGCGAAGGCAGCAUACCGGCGCUCUACUGACGCUGAUGCACGAAAGCGUGGGUAUCGAACAGGAUUAGAUACCCCAGUAGUC
This 459-nucleotide ribosomal RNA is filed under the name uncultured bacterium. RNAcentral's name for it is "partial 16S ribosomal RNA". It matches the Rfam family "Bacterial small subunit ribosomal RNA", at positions 338 to 795 of the family's 1533-position model. The record is from RNAcentral.